CAAUAGCGUAUAUUAAAGUUGUUGCGGUUAAAAAGCUCGUAGUUGGAUUUCUGUUGAGGUCGGCCGGUGUGCAUUACGUGUAUUAUCAGGUUUGGUCUUGGCAUCCUCUGAGGCACGAGGGACUUUAUUGGCUCUCGAGUUUUCAGACUUUUACUUUGAGGAAAUUAGAGUGUUCACGGCAAGCAAGCGCUUUGAAUACAUUAGCAUGGAAUAAUAAUAUAGGACCUUCGUUCUAUUUUGUUGGUUUCUAGAACUUGGGUAAUGAUUAAUAGGGACAAUUGGGGCAUUCGUAUUAACGCGUCAGAGGUGAAAUUCUUAGAUUGCGUUACGGCGAACUACUGCGAAAGCAUUUGCCAAAGAUGUUUUCAUUGAUCAAGAACGAAAGUAUGGGGAUCGAAGACGAUCAGAU
Molecule: ribosomal RNA, 409 nt
Filed under: uncultured eukaryote
Lineage: Eukaryota
Description: SSU rRNA
Rfam family: Eukaryotic small subunit ribosomal RNA
Source: RNAcentral